Molecule: ribosomal RNA, 167 nt
Filed under: uncultured rumen bacterium
Lineage: Bacteria
Description: partial 16S ribosomal RNA
Rfam family: Bacterial small subunit ribosomal RNA
Source: RNAcentral
UACGGGAGGNAANNGGGGGGAAUAUUGCACAAUGGAGGAAACUCUAAUGCAGCGNCGCCGCGUGAGUGAAGAAGUAUUUCGGUAUGUAAAGCUCUAUCAGCAGGAAAGAAAANAACGGUACCUGACUAAGAAGCCCCGGCUAACUACGUGCCAGCAGCCGCGGUAAU